RNAcentral lists this ribosomal RNA (446 nucleotides) under uncultured bacterium. RNAcentral's name for it is "partial 16S ribosomal RNA". It matches the Rfam family "Bacterial small subunit ribosomal RNA", at positions 338 to 795 of the family's 1533-position model. The record is from RNAcentral.
CCUACGGGAGGCAGCAGUCGAGAAUCUUUCACAAUGGGGGAAACCCUGAUGGUGCGACGCCGCGUGGGGGAAUGAAGGUCUUCGGAUUGUAAACCCCUGUCAUGUGGGAGCAAAUUAAAAAGAUAGUACCACAAGAGGAAGAGACGGCUAACUCUGUGACAGCAGCCGCGGUAAUACAGAGGUCGCAAGCGUUGUUCGGCAUCACUGGGCGUAAAGCGUGCGUAGGCGGUUUAGUAAGUCGUGUGUGAAAGGCUCGGGCUCAACCCGGGAACGGCACAUGAUACUGCGGGACUAGAGUAAUGGAGGGGGAACCGGAAUUCGCGGUGUAGCAGUGAAAUGCGUAGAUAUCGGGAGGAACACUCGUGGCGAAGGCGGGUUCCUGGACAUUAACUGACGCUGAGGCACGAAGGCCUGGGGAGCGAAAGGGAUUAGAUACCCCAGUAGUC